Molecule: long non-coding RNA, 109 nt
Organism: Sapajus apella (tufted capuchin)
Lineage: Eukaryota; Metazoa; Chordata; Mammalia; Primates; Cebidae
Exons: 4
Source: RefSeq, a predicted model, not a curated record
CAUAGCCAAAUAUCCUUAUCCACUUCACAAAUGCCUACACUCAGCUUAUAGUUCCUUGAGACAAUACCUACAAAUAUUAACAUCUGGGAGUCCCCAAUUUAAAAAAUGA